ACUCACUCAACCUGGGUGUGAUGUG
RNAcentral lists this non-coding RNA (25 nucleotides) under Tribolium castaneum (red flour beetle). Its record names the gene tca-miR-307-5p. RNAcentral also lists the same sequence under 1 other name. Lineage: Eukaryota; Metazoa; Arthropoda; Insecta; Coleoptera; Tenebrionidae. The record is from miRBase by way of RNAcentral.